UUAGCGGCGGACGGGUGAGUAACACGUGGAUAACCUACCUAUAAGACUGGGAUAACUUCGGGAAACCGGAGCUAAUACCGGAUAAUAUUUUGAACCGCAUGGUUCAAAAGUGAAAGACGGUCUUGCUGUCACUUAUAGAUGGAUCCGCGCUGCAUUAGCUAGUUGGUAAGGUAACGGCUUACCAAGGCAACGAUGCAUAGCCGACCUGAGAGGGUGAUCGGCCACACUGGAACUGAGACACGGUCCAGACUCCUACGGGAGGCAGCAGUAGGGAAUCUUCCGCAAUGGGCGAAAGCCUGACGGAGCAACGCCGCGUGAGUGAUGAAGGUCUUCGGAUCGUAAAACUCUGUUAUUAGGGAAGAACAUAUGUGUAAGUAACUGUGCACAUCUUGACGGUACCUAAUCAGAAAGCCACGGCUAACUACGUGCCAGCAGCCGCGGUAAUACGUAGGUGGCAAGCGUUAUCCGGAAUUAUUGGGCGUAAAGCGCGCGUAGGCGGUUUUUUAAGUCUGAUGUGAAAGCCCACGGCUCAACCG
This 536-nucleotide ribosomal RNA is filed under the name Staphylococcus aureus. RNAcentral's name for it is "bacterial SSU rRNA". It matches the Rfam family "Bacterial small subunit ribosomal RNA", at positions 92 to 615 of the family's 1533-position model. The record is from RNAcentral. Lineage: Bacteria; Bacillati; Bacillota; Bacilli; Caryophanales; Staphylococcaceae.